GACGAACGCUGGCGGCGUGCUUAACACAUGCAAGUCGAACGGAAAGGCCCUGCUUUUGUGGGGUGCUCGAGUGGCGAACGGGUGAGUAACACGUGAGUAACCUGCCCUUGACUUUGGGAUAACUUCAGGAAACUGGGGCUAAUACCGGAUAGGAGCUCCUGCUGCAUGGUGGGGGUUGGAAAGUUUCGGCGGUUGGGGAUGGACUCGCGGCUUAUCAGCUUGUUGGUGGGGUAGUGGCUUACCAAGGCUUUGACGGGUAGCCGGCCUGAGAGGGUGACCGGACAACAUGGGGAGUGCGUGCGGACCAAGCGGCAAAGGGGGGAAAACGGGGGGAAUUUUUCACAAGGGGGCGGAGGCGUGCGGCAGAAGCCGCGGGGGGGGAAGGACGGCCUGGGGUUAGAAACCGGCUUCCGCUGGGGACAAAGGGGGGUGGAGGGUAGGGGAAAAAGGAGCCCGGGAUAACUACGUC
This 469-nucleotide ribosomal RNA is filed under the name uncultured bacterium. RNAcentral describes it as "partial 16S ribosomal RNA". It matches the Rfam family "Bacterial small subunit ribosomal RNA", at positions 28 to 507 of the family's 1533-position model. The record is from RNAcentral.